GACGAACGCUGGCGGCGUGCUUAACACAUGCCAGUCGAACGAAGAGCGAUGGAAGCUUGCUUCUAUCAAUCUUAGUGGCGAACGGGUGAGUAACGCGUAAUCAACCUGCCCUUCAGAGGGGGACAACAGUUGGAAACGACUGCCAAUACCGCAUACGAUCUAAUCUCGGCAUCGAGGAUAGAUGAAAGGUGGCCUCUACAUGUAAGCUAUCACUGAAGGAGGGGAUUGCGUCUGAUUAGCUAGUUGGAGGGGUAACGGCCCACCAAGGCGAUGAUCAGUAGCCGGUCUGAGAGGAUGAACGGCCACAUUGGGACUGAGACACGGCCCAGACUCCUACGGGAGGCAGCAGUGGGGAAUCUUCCGCAAUGGACGAAAGUCUGACGGAGCAACGCCGCGUGAGUGAUGACGGCCCUCGGGUUGUAAAGCUCUGUUAAUCGGGACGAAAGGCCUUCUUGCGAAUAGUGAGAAGGAUUGACGGUACCGGAAUAGAAAGCCACGGCUAACUACGUG
This 510-nucleotide ribosomal RNA is filed under the name uncultured bacterium. Its description in RNAcentral is "partial 16S ribosomal RNA". It matches the Rfam family "Bacterial small subunit ribosomal RNA", at positions 28 to 507 of the family's 1533-position model. The record is from RNAcentral.